Molecule: ribosomal RNA, 883 nt
Filed under: Salmonella enterica
Lineage: Bacteria; Pseudomonadati; Pseudomonadota; Gammaproteobacteria; Enterobacterales; Enterobacteriaceae
Description: partial 23S ribosomal RNA
Rfam family: Bacterial large subunit ribosomal RNA
Source: RNAcentral
GGGUUGUGAGGUUAAGCGACUAAGCGUACACGGUGGAUGCCCUGGCAGUCAGAGGCGAUGAAGGACGUGCUAAUCUGCGAUAAGCGCCGGUAAGGUGAUAUGAACCGUUAUAACCGGCGAUUUCCGAAUGGGGAAACCCAGUGUGACUCGUCACACUAUCAUUAACUGAAUCCAUAGGUUAAUGAGGCGAACCGGGGGAACUGAAACAUCUAAGUACCCCGAGGAAAAGAAAUCAACCGAGAUUCCCCCAGUAGCGGCGAGCGAACGGGGAGGAGCCCAGAGCCUGAAUCAGCAUGUGUGUUAGUGGAAGCGUCUGGAAAGGCGCGCGAUACAGGGUGACAGCCCCGUACACAAAAGCGCAUAUGCUGUGAGCUCGAUGAGUAGGGCGGGACACGUGGUAUCCUGUCUGAAUAUGGGGGGACCAUCCUCCAAGGCUAAAUACUCCUGACUGACCGAUAGUGAACCAGUACCGUGAGGGAAAGGCGAAAAGAACCCCGGCGAGGGGAGUGAAAAAGAACCUGAAACCGUGUACGUACAAGCAGUGGGAGCCCCACCACUAAGCCAGUGGUGAACUCCACAUACGCAUCCUUUGCUGAGGAUACGGUUAACGGAGCGAAAGCGACGUUCAACCUCAAAAGAAGCAGAGGGGGCUUAGUGGUGGGGUGACUGCGUACCUUUUGUAUAAUGGGUCAGCGACUUAUAUUCUGUAGCAAGGUUAACCGAAUAGGGGAGCCGGAGGGAAACCGAGUCUUAAUUGGGCGUUAAGUUGCAGGGUAUAGACCCGAAACCCGGUGAUCUAGCCAUGGGCAGGUUGAAGGUUGGGUAACACUAACUGGAGGACCGAACCGACUAAUGUUGAAAAAUUAGCGGAUGACCUGUGGCU